UACGUAGGUGGCGAGCGUUGUCCGGAUUUACUGGGCGUAAAGAGCGCGCAGGCGGUCGUUCAAGUCGGAUGUGAAAGCCCCCGGCUCAACUGGGGAGGGUCAUUCGAUACUGAUCGACUCGAAGGCAGGAGAGGGAAGCGGAAUUCCGGGUGUAGUGGUGAAAUGCGUAGAGAUCCGGAGGAACACCAGUGGCGAAGGCGACACGCUGGGUCACACCUGACGCUAAAACGCGACAGCAUGGGGAGCAAACGGG
Molecule: ribosomal RNA, 253 nt
Filed under: uncultured prokaryote
Description: partial 16S ribosomal RNA
Rfam family: Bacterial small subunit ribosomal RNA
Source: RNAcentral